Molecule: long non-coding RNA, 1801 nt
Organism: Mastomys coucha (southern multimammate mouse)
Lineage: Eukaryota; Metazoa; Chordata; Mammalia; Rodentia; Muridae
Exons: 5
Source: RefSeq, a predicted model, not a curated record
CGGGACGACCGCGACUUGGCCUUGGCGCGGGCCUUGCCUCCUUGCUUGCCACGGCCGGACAUCACGACAGCGAACACAGAAGGACCUUCGAAACCAGGAAACUGUGCUCCGACGCGCACACCUCACCCUUUUAUAGACAGAGGCCCGAUUGUACGCCCGACGUUCUCAUUGGCUCACACGCGUCCUGACGCCGUGGCCAAUGAGGAGCGUGCGGACACAAUCUCUCAUUUACAUAAGCCCGGCUCCCUCGUCCCGGCAACGCCUUGGAACGCGCGAAUCACGACGCGCGUGCUCCGCGGCCUCAUUUGCGUGCGGCCGUAGUUGCGACACUGGGCGGGUCCCCCCGCCUGAUCGCGGUUUCUGCUGGUCAGGAAGCUGUGUAAGUGCGCAGUGGCUCCAAGAAGACCUGAGUCAAGCAUCUACUUACUUAUGUGGAGAUAUUCCUUUAAGGAAUGCUGGAAACUUAGUUUUUGAUACCUAGGAAGUAGCGGACUGAUAUUUAUGUGCAUCCGAGGAGUCAUACAUCUGAGAAAUGGAUCAAGGGUUCAGCAAAGACUACACAAACCCUGCAGUCACGGACUGACUGAACACAGAACGUGGGAAUGGCAUCCUAUCACCUUAAAAGGCCCAUCUCUAGGGUGAUUCUGGGUCUCAAGUUGGCCGUUGAGAUGAACAAGUAUUGGAAGACACACUAAGAGAAUCAGAACUGAUCUUCUCUGAGUUCAGCUCAGCCUUUGGACUCUGGCAGUCUCUGCUUGGAAGCUACCACCUGGGGAGCUAAGACAAAAGCUCUCUGCAGACUGUCAGUUCUUCCUUGGAGCAGCAGCCUGGAAAUUCACAGAGAUAUGGACACUCCAAGUUGCUGGGGACCUUGGUGCCUGACUUCUUCAGCAGUGUUUAUGAUGCACGUGGUUACUUGGAGCAGUAAUACCGAAGGUGGCCUGGGCCCCAAUCUGCAGGGACUAUGUGGGGAGGAGUGCGCUGAAACCGCGGAAGGAGCAAUGACAGGAGCCAAAGGAGCAGGCAGAGCUGACUCAAGAGCAGCAGAGGCAGGUGGGAGAGACACUGCAGGUAAGUGGACAAAGGAAAAAAAACCGAAACUAAGACAAACAAAACAAAGAACAAUGUUUGUGUGGCCAAACAAUUCUGGUCGAAUUUCUUCUGUACUGCUUAAGACCUCGUAUAUAACUAGGAAAGCACUACCACUGACCUACACCCUAGAAUAUGCCAAACUACAACGAAAUAGCAUACAAUCAAAGCACCAAUAUAUCGUAAGUCUUGUGACCUGGAACAGGAAAUUUAGUCUCGGUGUGUAAACUGAAAAAUAACCAAAGAUUUAAGUUAUCCGUCUAAAUGUUCUCAAAGCAAUUUCUGACCAAAAAGACAAGUUACUUCACAGACGACCCCAAUGUUGAUACGUCAAUAAAGGACUGCUUAGUGCUUUCCUCCAUUCUGACAAUAUUAUUAGCAUGAACUUAAUGUCACUCCCGCGCAAAGUCGAAAGGUACUUCUCUACACUUAAGACUCCUCAUUCAAGGGCACACAUAUAACUUCAGUAGAAAUGACUUCUAAUAUAUAUCGGAGAUAGAAGGAAAAAAACCAACCACCAGCAUGCCUCAGAGAGAGGGUGGGUGGUUCAGCACAUCACAGGCUAAGGCCGCCAGGCUCUGCCGGGACUCCUCCCCCGGUAUAUGCACAAAGAUGCAGCUGAGGAAGAACUCACAGCCUGUGCCGGUGACCUAUACCUGUUACACCACUCCCUGUGGCCACGUUUACGCGUGAUGCCGAUCCUCUGGGUGCU